Molecule: ribosomal RNA, 497 nt
Filed under: uncultured bacterium
Lineage: Bacteria
Description: partial 16S ribosomal RNA
Rfam family: Bacterial small subunit ribosomal RNA
Source: RNAcentral
GACGAACGCUGGCGGCGUGCCUAACACAUGCCAGUCGAGCGAACAGAUCAGGAGCUUGCGCGUCGGUCGUUAGCGGCGGACGGGAGCGUAACAUGUGGAUAACCUACCUAUAAGACGGGGAUAAUUUCGGGAAACCGGAUCUUAUACCGGAGAAUAUAUUGAACCUCGUUGGUCGAUAGUGAAAUACGGUUUUUCUGUAUCUAAUAGCUGGAUCCGGGCCGGAUUAGCUAGUUGUGAAGGUAAUGGCUUACCAAGGCGACGAUGCGUAGCCGACCUCAGAGAGUGAUCGCCGACCUGGGAGGAGAGACAGGGUCCAGACUCCUGCGGGAGGACGCAGACGGGAAUCUUACGCAAUGGGCGAGAGCGUGACAGAGCAACGCGGCGUGAGUGAUGAAGGUGUUCGGAUCGUAAAGCUCUGUUAUUGGGGGAGAACAAAUGUGUAAGUAGCUAUGCAGGUCUUGACGGUACCUGGUCAAAAAGCCCCGGCUAACUACGUG